AUGACGGGCUACCUGAAUCAUUUGGUCGACUUCACGCCAACCUUUGGUGACCAAGUUAUUGUUGACACGCCCAACAUGGGGCCGAUGGCGGUCCAUGGCCGCGGAUCGGUGAACACUGCGAGCAUGACCCUGCAGGACGUUUUGUACGUCCCUGGGCUUGAUGUGAACCUCGUCGCGACUGGCCAGCUUGCUGAACUUGGCUACACCAUCGCCAUUGGUCCUUAUGGAUGUUAUGUCUUCAAGGACAACGGAGGCAUGAAUCUUGUCGGAAAAGCACAUUACGUACAUGGCUAUAUGCUGGAGCUGGAUUUCCUCAGGGCUAGUCCUUUCACGAACUGA
This 339-nucleotide ribosomal RNA is filed under the name Triticum aestivum (bread wheat). Its description in RNAcentral is "partial small subunit ribosomal RNA". Lineage: Eukaryota; Viridiplantae; Streptophyta; Magnoliopsida; Poales; Poaceae. The record is from RNAcentral.